UUGAGAGUCCUGGAGAAGAAAAUCCUCUGAUUCUCCAGAGAACAGGUAUGACAUGGGCUAUGGCAGUGAGGGCUUCCCCACAUUGCUCAAUGAAUAUGUACCUACCUUGAUCUGGAGGUACUAUCUGUGUAGGCGAGAAGAUAGUUCACUCACUGUUCCCUUUCAGUCCUUGGUCUUG
RNAcentral lists this small RNA (178 nucleotides) under Chrysemys picta bellii (western painted turtle). RNAcentral's name for it is "TUC338 (ENSCPBG00000019300.1)". The record is from RNAcentral. Lineage: Eukaryota; Metazoa; Chordata; Testudines; Emydidae.